GACGAACGCUGGCGGCGUGCUUAACACAUGCAAGUCGAGCGGUAAGGCCCUUUCGGGGGUACACGAGCGGCGAACGGGUGAGUAACACGUGGGUGACCUGCCCUCAGCUCUGGGAUAAGCCCGGGAAACUGGGUCUAAUACUGGAUAUGACUCCAUGACGCAUGUUGUGGGGUGGAAAGCCUUGUGCGGCUGAGGAUGGGCCCGCGGCCUAUCAGCUUGUUGGUGGGGNGAUGGCCUACCAAGGCGACGACGGGUAGCCGGCCUGAGAGGGCGACCGGCCACACUGGGACUGAGACACGGCCCAGACUCCUACGGGAGGCAGCAGUGGGGAAUCUUGCGCAAUGGGCGAAAGCCUGACGCAGCGACGCCGCGUGAGGGAUGACGGCCUGGUGUAACGU
This 398-nucleotide ribosomal RNA is filed under the name uncultured bacterium. RNAcentral's name for it is "bacterial SSU rRNA". It matches the Rfam family "Bacterial small subunit ribosomal RNA", at positions 28 to 431 of the family's 1533-position model. The record is from RNAcentral.